UACGGAGGGGGCUAGCGUUGUUCGGAAUUACUGGGCGUAAAGGGCGCGCAGGCGGCUGCUCAAGUCAGGCGUGAAAGGCCUGGGCUCAACCCGGGAAUUGCGCUUGAGACUGGGCUGGCUUGAGUGCGGGAGAGGAUGGUGGAAUUCCCAGUGUAGAGGUGAAAUGCGUAGAUAUUGGGAGGAACACCAGUGGCGAAGGCGGCUCACUGGACCGGAACUGACGCUGAGGCGCGAAAGCGUGGGGAGCAAACAGG
Molecule: ribosomal RNA, 254 nt
Filed under: uncultured bacterium
Lineage: Bacteria
Description: partial 16S ribosomal RNA
Rfam family: Bacterial small subunit ribosomal RNA
Source: RNAcentral